UACGAAGGGGGCUAGCGUUGUUCGGAUUUACUGGGCGUAAAGCGCACGUAGGCGGAUCGUUAAGUCGGGGGUGAAAUCCUGGAGCUCAACUCCAGAACUGCCUUCGAUACUGGCGAUCUUGAGUCCGGAAGAGGUGAGUGGAACUCCUAGUGUAGAGGUGGAAUUCGUAGAUAGUUAGGAAGAACACCAGUGGCGAAGGCGGACUCACUGGUCCGGUACUGACGCUGAGGUGCGAAAG
Molecule: ribosomal RNA, 238 nt
Filed under: uncultured bacterium
Lineage: Bacteria
Description: partial 16S ribosomal RNA
Rfam family: Bacterial small subunit ribosomal RNA
Source: RNAcentral